GAAGGUUUCGGCCAGGAAUUGCGUUUUGGUCUUACCCCUGUGAGACCAUAUGGUGUUACCCCAUUUUGUACUUGGGGUUGCUCUUGCUUGAGGCUGUAUCUCUGAUCCAAGGGGUGCGCUGGGCUUUCAUUAUUGGCCUUUGGGACUUCUAUGGUGUAUCUGGGCUUGACCAUUCCCCAUGUUGCCCCCUUUCUCUCUAUUGGGCUCUUAACUACUUUGUUAAAUGUUCUUUUUGAGGAUUGUAACUUAUUUUUAUUUUUUACGGCUCAGGACCCUUGGAGACGUGGGGGCAACAUGGAAAAUGGUAUGUGGGAAGAUAGUAAGCUAUCGGGUUGGUCUGAUGACCGAACCCUUAUGCGUAGAGAUGUUCGCCUAAUCUUGUAGAACCUAAUUGAUUUUUUUGUACUUGUUAAUUCAUCCUUUUAAUAAAGUCACAUGCUAAUUUUCGCCGUAAUAUGUAUAGUGCAUGUGUGAUUUUUACAUGUACAUACAUAUCGAGUUAUUCUUUAUUCUUUUCAAACUAAACAUUAGGCUACGGAAAAUUCAAAAUUUC
This 553-nucleotide long non-coding RNA is filed under the name Prunus persica (peach). RNAcentral's name for it is "long non-coding RNA (PPER_LNC003259)". The record is from RNAcentral. Lineage: Eukaryota; Viridiplantae; Streptophyta; Magnoliopsida; Rosales; Rosaceae.